RNAcentral lists this ribosomal RNA (184 nucleotides) under uncultured Saccharomyces. RNAcentral's name for it is "partial 26S ribosomal RNA". It matches the Rfam family "Eukaryotic large subunit ribosomal RNA", at positions 90 to 276 of the family's 3401-position model. The record is from RNAcentral. Lineage: Eukaryota; Fungi; Ascomycota; Saccharomycetes; Saccharomycetales; Saccharomycetaceae.
CAAGUGAGCGCAAAAGCUCAAAUUUGAAAUCUGGUACCUUCGGUGUUCGAGGGGUAAUUUGGAGAGGGCAACUUUGGGGCCGUUCCUUGUCUAUGUUCCUUGGAACAGGACGUCAUAGAGGGUGAAAAUCCCGUGUGGCGAGAAGUGCGGUUCAUGUAAAGUGCCUUCAAAAAGGAGUUGUUUG